GGAAUUCCAUCCAGAUCAAGACUGCGUAUCUUAAAGGAGGUCUUCAGAAGUAUCAUGGAAUUGCAAGAUUGUAGUUCUCUAACUUUUUUAACAUUGCAGGUUGUGAAGCAGAAGAAGUAAUGAAGACGCAUUACAAAAGGAAUGUACACCAAGAAGCAUCCAGUUCAAGUCAAGACCUUUGUCACCUGAAAAACGUUUAGCAUGUAAUUUCAUCCAGAUGAAGACCAUGGUUAUCUAGGAUGGCAACAGCUUUAAAGAUUGCUUGUACAUAAGAGGUAUUACAGG
Molecule: long non-coding RNA, 285 nt
Organism: Anneissia japonica
Lineage: Eukaryota; Metazoa; Echinodermata; Crinoidea; Comatulida; Comatulidae
Exons: 4
Source: RefSeq, a predicted model, not a curated record